Molecule: ribosomal RNA, 1878 nt
Filed under: Capsicum annuum
Lineage: Eukaryota; Viridiplantae; Streptophyta; Magnoliopsida; Solanales; Solanaceae
Description: bacterial LSU rRNA
Rfam family: Eukaryotic large subunit ribosomal RNA
Source: RNAcentral
GAUGGUGCUUAAACGCGUGACCUACACCCAGCCUUCAGGGCAAGUGCCAGGACUCGAUGAGUAGGAGGGCAUGGUGGUUACUGCAAAACCUUAUGUGCAAGACGGGGUGGAGCGGCCAUCGGUGUAGAUCUUAGUGGUAGUAAAAAAUAUUUAAUUGAGAACUUUGAAGGCCGAAGAUGGGAAAGGUUCCAUGUAAAUGACACUUGCACAUGGGUUAGUCGUUCCUAAGGGUCGGGGGAACCCCGAUAUAUAACAAAUUUCACGCAUACUCCAAAAGGGAAUCGGGUUAAAAUUCCUGAACUGGGACGUGAUGGUCGAUGGCAAUGUUAGGAAGUCUGAAGAUGUCGGCAGGAGCCUCGAAAAGUAUUAUUUUUUUGUUUAACAGCCUACCCACCCUGGAAUCGGCUCAGCCAGAGGUAGGGUCCAACGACUGGAAGAGCACUGUAUGUCACGUGGUGUCCGGUACACUCCCAGUGGCCCUUAAAAAUUCAAAGGACCGAAUGUCAUCCAUGACCGAUCAUACUCAUAACUGCAUCAGGUCUCCAAGGUGAACAAUCUGUGGUUGAUGGAACAAUGUAGGCAAGGUAAGUCGGCAAAAAGGAUCCCUAAGUUCGGGAAAAGGAUUGGCUAGGAGGGCUAGGCACGAGGGUCCUAAUCCCAAACCCGUCGGCUGUUGGUGGACUGCUUGAGCUUCUCCCAUGGUGACCCGCCAACUCAAAACUAGUACGGACAAGGGGAAUCUGACUGUUUAAUUAAAACAAAGCAUUGCAUAGUCCUAACGGAUGUUCACGCAAUACGAUUUCUGCUAGUGCUUUGAAUGUUAAUGUGAAGAAAUUCAACCAAGUGCGGGUAAAUGGCGGGAGUAACUAUGACUCUCUUAAGGUAGCCAAAUGCAUCGUCAUCAAAUUAGUGAUGCGCAUGAAUAGACUAACGAGAUUUCUACUGUCCUUUUCUACUAACCAGCGAAACCACAACUAAGGGAACAGGCUUGGCAAAUCAGUAGUGAAAGAAGACCUUGUUGAGGUUGACUCUAUUCCGACUUUGUGAAAUAACUUGAGAGGUGUAGUAUAAGUGGGAGCUGAAAGGCGAAAGUGAAAAACCACUACUUUUAACGUUAUUGCACUCAUUACGUGAAUCAGAAGCGGGGAACUACCUCACUUUUUGGACCGAAGGCUCGCUCUACAGGCCGACCCAGGCGGAAGAUAUUAUUAGGUGGGGAGUUUGGUUGGGGUGGCACAUCUAUUAAAAUAUAAAUAAUGUGCCCUAAAGUAGCUCAAUAGAAUAGAAAUAUCAUGCGGAACCGAAGGGUAAAAUCUCAUUUGAUUCUGAUUUCUAGUACGAAUAUGAAUCAUGCAGCGUGUCCAAAUGAUCAUUUAGACCUUUGAAAUUCGAAGCUAGAGGUGUCAGAAAAUUUAGCACAGGGAUAACUGGUUUGUGGCAGCCAAGCAUUCAUAGCGACAUUGCUUUUUAAUUCUUCGAUGUCGGCUCUUCCUAUCAUUGUGAAGCAGAAUUCACCAAGUGUUGGAUAGUUCAUCUACCAAUAGGAAACAUGAGCUGGGUUUAGACUAUCAUGAGACAGGUUAGUUUUACCCUACUGAUAACAGUGUCAUAAUAGUAAUUCAAUGUAGUAUGAGAGGAACAAUUUAUUCACAUAAUUGGUCAUCACGCAUGGUUGAAAAUCCAAUGGUGCGAAGCUACCUUCUGCUGGAUUAUGACUGAAUGACUCUAAGUCAGAAUCUAGCUAUAAGUGAUGUAUGCCCCCUCCGUCCUCUUGCCAACCCGCAGUAGGGGCCUUGGCCUUUAAUGGACCGUCUUGUUGGCUAAGCCAUUAUGGCGAAAGAAUCACGGUGGCCACCUUAAAGUACAAUUUCCAUCAAG